Molecule: ribosomal RNA, 274 nt
Filed under: uncultured bacterium
Lineage: Bacteria
Description: partial 16S ribosomal RNA
Rfam family: Bacterial small subunit ribosomal RNA
Source: RNAcentral
AUACGGAGGGUGCAAGCGUUACUCGGAAUCACUGGGCGUAAAGCGCGCGCAGGCGGGCUGAUAAGUUGGAUGUGAAAGCCUACGGCUCAACCGUAGAACUGCAUCCAAAACUGUCAGUCUAGAGUCUGGGAGGGGAAGAUGGAAUUAGUUGUGUAGGGGUAAAAUCCGUAGAGAUAACUAGGAAUACCAAAAGCGAAGGCGAUCUUCUGGAACAGUACUGACGCUGAGGCGCGAAAGCGUGGGGAGCAAACAGGAUGAGAAACCCUAGUAGUCC